UCCCAUUUUAACAGAAAAACGAAAAAAUACAAACAGACCCACUCCACACAAACGACGACAAGAAACUACAUACUUGAGAUAUGAAACUUUCAACAUGGAAUUUUUAUUUUGUAGGCAAAGAAAGACGACUGACUAACUAUUCGAUAAAAGAAAUGCAACAACAAAUUUAAGUUUGAAGCAGAUAGUAAAAAAGAUUAAUGAAUUUAGGCAGAACGAAAAUUGGAAAAAAGUGAAUACAAUAACUUACUAUUUAAAUAAAGAAAUAUUAAUAAUAAUUACUUGUGCUUGUGAGUAAUAAUAAUAACAACCACCAAGGGCAGUUACAGGGCUCCAAUGAUGAAAUGCAACAAUGAUGUCAUUUUGCAAAACUUCGAGAACAAAUUUGUCUAAAAAAGAAGUGUAAAAAGUAACAACCUUCUCCAGAAGUCGAAAAUACUUUAAAA
This is a long non-coding RNA of Episyrphus balteatus (marmalade hoverfly), 443 nucleotides long. RefSeq lists it as uncharacterized. The transcript has 2 exons. Lineage: Eukaryota; Metazoa; Arthropoda; Insecta; Diptera; Syrphidae. The record is from RefSeq and is a predicted model, not a curated record.